RNAcentral lists this ribosomal RNA (393 nucleotides) under uncultured bacterium. RNAcentral's name for it is "bacterial SSU rRNA". It matches the Rfam family "Bacterial small subunit ribosomal RNA", at positions 975 to 1368 of the family's 1533-position model. The record is from RNAcentral.
CAAGGCUUGACAUACACCGGAAACGGCCAGAGAUGGUCGCCCCCUUGUGGUCAGUGUACAGGUGGUGCAUGGUUGUCGUCAGCUCGUGUCGUGAGAUGUUGGGUUAAGUCCCGCAACGAGCGCAACCCUCGCUCUAUGUUGCCAGCGCGUUAUGGCGGGGACUCAUAGGAGACUGCCGGGGUCAACUCGGAGGAAGGUGGGGAUGACGUCAAAUCAUCAUGCCCCUUAUGUCUUGGGCUUCACGCAUGCUACAAUGGCCGGUACAAAGGGCUGCGAUACCGUAAGGUGGAGCGAAUCCCAAAAAGCCGGUCUCAGUUCGGAUUGAGGUCUGCAACUCGACCUCAUGAAGUCGGAGUCGCUAGUAAUCGCAGAUCAGCAACGCUGCGGUGAAUA